UAAAAGUUUGAUUUUAGCUUAAAAUUUAUUUAAUUUUAAAAUUACAUGAAAAUUUUAGUAGGAAAAAAUAAUUAUUUUAAAAAUAAAAAUUUUUAAUCUCAGUAUAAAAAAUUAAUUAUGAAAGAAAUUUUGAGUUAGUUAAAAAUUUUAUUAUAGGAUAAAUUUGUGCCAGCAUCUGCGGUUAUACAAAUUAUAUAAAUAAAUUAUAUUGGUAAAUAAUUAAAUUAUUAUUAAAUUAUAAAUUAAAUUUUUAUUUUAAAAGUAAAAUUUUUAAUAUAAAAUAUAUUUAUUUUAAUAUUAUUGAAAUUAUAAAAAUUUUAAAUUAAACUAGGAUUAGAUACCCUAUUAUUAAAAUUAUAAAUAAAUUAUAUUAAGGUAGUAAUAGUUAUAAUCUUGAAACUUAAAAAAUUUGGCGGUAUUUUAGUCUAUUUAGAGGAACCUGUUCUUUAAUCGAUAGUCCACGAUAAAUUUUACUAAUUUUAUUUAUUUGUAUAUCGUCGUUAUCAGAAUAUUUUAUAAGAAUUAUAAUAUUCAUAAAUUUAAAUUAAAAUUUAUUUCAGAUCAAGGUGCAGUUUAUGAAUUAGUAGAAAUGGGUUACAAUAAAUUUAUUUAUACGAAAAGGAUUUUGAAAAAUUUUCUUGAAGGUGGAUUUAAUAGUAAAUUUAUUUAUGUUAAUAAAUUGAUUAUAGCUCUAAAAUAUGUACACAUCGCCCGUCGCUCUUUUUAUUAAAAAAAGAUAAGUCGUAACAUAGUAGAUGUACUGGAAAGUGUAUCUAGAAAGAU
Molecule: non-coding RNA, 783 nt
Filed under: Mantispa japonica
Lineage: Eukaryota; Metazoa; Arthropoda; Insecta; Neuroptera; Mantispidae
Source: RNAcentral